AUUGAACGCUGGCGGCAGGCCUAACACAUGCAAGUCGAGCGGAUGAAGGGAGCUUGCUCCUGGAUUCAGCGGCGGACGGGUGAGUAAUGCCUAGGAAUCUGCCUGGUAGUGGGGGAUAACGUCCGGAAACGGGCGCUAAUACCGCAUACGUCCUGAGGGAGAAAGUGGGGGAUCUUCGGACCUCACGCUAUCAGAUGAGCCUAGGUCGGAUUAGCUAGUUGGUGGGGUAAAGGCCUACCAAGGCGACGAUCCGUAACUGGUCUGAGAGGAUGAUCAGUCACACUGGAACUGAGACACGGUCCAGACUCCUAUGGGAGGCAGCAGUGGGGAAUAUUGGACAAUGGGCGAAAGCCUGAUCCGGCCAUGCCGCGUGUGUGAAGAAGGUCUUCGGAUUGUAAAGCACUUUAAGUUGGGAGGAAGGGCAGUAAGUUAAUACCUUGCUGUUUUGACGUUACCAACAGAAUAAGCACCGGCUAACUUCGUG
Molecule: ribosomal RNA, 484 nt
Filed under: uncultured bacterium
Lineage: Bacteria
Description: partial 16S ribosomal RNA
Rfam family: Bacterial small subunit ribosomal RNA
Source: RNAcentral